RNAcentral lists this ribosomal RNA (189 nucleotides) under uncultured rumen bacterium. RNAcentral describes it as "partial 16S ribosomal RNA". It matches the Rfam family "Bacterial small subunit ribosomal RNA", at positions 338 to 524 of the family's 1533-position model. The record is from RNAcentral.
CCUACGGGAGGCAGCAGUGAGGAAUAUUGGUCAAUGGGCGCGAGCCUGAACCAGCCAAGUAGCGUGCAGGACGACUGCCCUAUCGGUUGUAAACUGCUUUUAUCAGGGAAUAAAGUGAGGCACGCGUGCCUUUUUGUAUGUACCUGAUGAAUAAGGACCGGCUAAUUCCGUGCCAGCAGCCGCGGUAAU